Molecule: ribosomal RNA, 483 nt
Filed under: uncultured bacterium
Lineage: Bacteria
Description: partial 16S ribosomal RNA
Rfam family: Bacterial small subunit ribosomal RNA
Source: RNAcentral
AUUGAACGCUGGCGGCAGGCCUAACACAUGCAAGUCGAGCGGAUGAAGGGAGCUUGCUCCUGGAUUCAGCGGCGGACGGGUGAGUAAUGCCUAGGAAUCUGCCUGGUAGUGGGGGAUAACGUCCGGAAACGGGCGCUAAUACCGCAUACGUCCUGAGGGAGAAAGUGGGGGAUCUUCGGACCUCACGCUAUCAGAUGAGCCUAGGUCGGAUUAGCUAGUUGGUGGGGUAAAGGCCUACCAAGGCGACGAUCCGUAACUGGUCUGAGAGGAUGAUCAGUCAACAUGGAACUGGGAAACGGUCCAGAAUCCAACGGGAGGCAGAGGGGGGGAAAAUGGGAAAAGGGGCGAAAGCCUGAACCAGCCAUGCCGGGGGGGUGAAGAAGGCUUUCGGAUUGUAAAGCACUUUAAGGGGGGAGGAAGGGCAGUAAGUUAAUACCUUGCUGUUUUGACGUUACAAACAGAAUAAGCACCGGCAAAUUUCGU